GAGUACUAUUAGCAAUGGCCUAAAACUCAAAGGACUUGGCAGUGCUUUACAUCCCUCUAGAGGAGCCUGUUCUAUAAUCGAUAAACCCUGAUAUACCUCACCACCUUUAGCAUUUAUCAGCCUAUAUACUGCCAUCUUCAGCAAACCCUAACAAGUUCUUAUAGUAAGCAAGAGAAUUUUACAUUAAUAUGUUAGGUCAAGGUGUAGCCUAUAAGGUGGAAAGUAAUGGGCUACAUUUUCUACUUCUUAGAACAAAUCUUCAGGACAGCUUUUAUGAAACUUAAAAGCCCAAGUCGGAUUUAGUAGUAAGUUAAGAAUAGAGAGCUUAGCUGAAUUGGGCAAUAAAGUAUGCACACACCACCCGUCACCCUCUUCAAAUACAAUUACACAAAACCUGAUACAUAAUCCACUUGAUUAGACUGUAUGAGAAGAGAUAAGUCAUAACAAGGUAGACAUACUGGAAAGUGUGUUUG
This 473-nucleotide ribosomal RNA is filed under the name Marmota monax (woodchuck). Its description in RNAcentral is "SSU_rRNA_microsporidia". It matches the Rfam family "Bacterial small subunit ribosomal RNA", at positions 875 to 1520 of the family's 1533-position model. Lineage: Eukaryota; Metazoa; Chordata; Mammalia; Rodentia; Sciuridae. The record is from RNAcentral.